UCCCACUACAUCGAGCCCCGCGCCCAUGUCCCAUCUCCUCUUCCUAGCAAAGCAAGUCUACUCCGCGUCUCUUCCAAUCUAGUCUCAUAUUUUCUUCUUCUCGUUCAAUGAACAGGCAAGCUUGCUCGGCGGUGAAGCCUCGCCAGAGAUGGGAUGCGAUUCUCAUUGAGCCUCAAUCGGCAGCGGGAGCAGGGGCUCUCGCUCUUGUUUCUCCCUUUCGCGUCUCGCGGAUGAGGGCGUGCCUACACGGAAUCGAGGAGGGGAGCUUAUGAGCCCAGGAGAAGGACUACUGCCGCCGUCGCAGUCCUGAGGUCGACAUAUCUCGCCUCUACGCAGCCCCGAUGCGCCUUCCUCUGGCGGCCAGCUUAUCCCCGCAUUAGCUCGUUGCAGCCCCGACACCGGUGUACUCCCGCCUAGGUUUGUCGUCUUUCACCUGGGCGACGCGAUCUGGAGGAGUAGAACGUGUGGUGGAGGCAGCAUCAGCCACUUGCAGGGAGGGAGAGGACCCCCCAGCCGUGAGGAGAGGAAGGUAUCCACAGAAGACGUCAAGGAGAAAGGUGGAGCUCUCACCGUCCAUGGCCACUAGAGAGUGGGAUAAUCAAUGUGCCAUUGACUCGAUGCUGGGACUAAAACGGAAGAAGGAUGAGGACCAACUGAAAAGGAUUGAUACAAAGCCGCCCCCACUUCAAGUAGAUGUGUACCACGUGCACCUGCACAUCCAAGGUGGCCUGGCCGCGGCGAGCUCGCCGGAUGCCUUGGCCGCCAAAGUAAUCAGUUAGAGUGGCCGGAUGAGCCCCCUUCCCAACCUAACCGGUGACCUGGGAAUCUUGGUGCACUCAUCGAUCAUUGGGGUGUCCUUGCGCGCAUUGUUGAGGCAAACGACCAUCUUGUCGACGCCCUCAGAUUCCAUCACUUAUUCGAGGGCAUUGGCCUCGAAGGUUGUAUUUUUCAGGUGGAAAGUUUGUCUAUGAACUCUGCCUCCACAGCCUGAUACUAGAGACCUGCUUUGCACCUUGAGUUUGUACCUACUACCUAGGUACAUUGGAGUUAUAAUUUUUGGAAAGCCAAGUAAAUAAAUCUGUAGGUAUACAUUCCUGACCUUCUAGAUCUGUGUCCAGUGCAUUAACUAUUUUGUGCACUGAAUGAGCUAUCUGUGCUACUUAGUAAUUAUGCAGAAUGAGUUUAGUUUUAAGCUGUUUUUCAGUGGAUAAAAUCCUUGUUUGCGAUAGCAUAUAUAUUAUGAAAAUAUAGUAGAAUAUGUAAGCAUGUAGGAUUAACGCCCUUUCAUUUAUGCUAAAAUGAAGUACAUACAUGGCAUGUUGAAACCUCAAGUCAGUCAUGAUUUUGAAAGAUUUUUCGUGAGACUAUAUAUUUAAAAAGUGUCACUGAAUCCUUUAAUUAGUACACCAGAAAACCUUUAGUAAUCCGUAGCCUCAAACAUGAAGCUGCCAGCACACGUAUCCUGAUUUAGGUGCAGGAUGAAGAGUCCAACACCUUAUUCUUUAAUGCAGAAUCUUGUCCAUGAGAUGGCUUUACUGAGUUCAUAAUUUGACUAAUUUCCUCAUUAAGGAUCCUGUAUUAUUAAGGUCCUUGGUUGGGUAAGGGUCUGAAAAAAGGACAGGGAUCUUAGGUUGUUCACUGUCGUGUAUACCUAGAGGCUCUAAGAUUCAAAAAUAUAAAUUAUAUGAAGAAACUAGAGAACUUGGGUUAUUCUUUGUUUAUUCAGGGUGCAGUGCCGUGCUUAUAUUUCUGGCCUCCUGAAAAGAGUAUCCAGUAUAACCAAUCUACUACUGAAGAUAAGAGUGUUAUUCGAACUGUUCUAAUAUAAAUCUACACGUCUAACUAAUUAGGAUAUCUUAUGUUGAUCUUCCUAAUGUUGUUAUGUCUCGGCAAACAUUACCGCUUUGAAAAUAAUAAUGCAAAAAAACUUACUCACUGACUACUGCAUGUUGUGUGCAUGCUGUUGCACGUUAGAUAUAUAAGGAGAUGAGAGAAGAUGUCCAAAUUCAUGAUUGAUUCAACGUGUGUCUUCUAGAUCUUGUAAAAUCGUUUAAGAAUGAAAUUUCAUGCCUUUGUGCUUGUUUGAAGAAGACAACAACUUAGAGGAGGUAUUAUGAGUUACUUAGUAUUUAAACUCUUAAUUUUAUAGUAGCAUGUGCCAUUUUCAUUUCGUAUUAUGUGAUCAUCUUCAUUUCUUCUGUCAAUAAUUUCAUAGGCUAAAAAGAGAAGUUCCUGCAAAUAUUUUUCUUGCAUUUCAUACAAGCAUUUAAAGGCCAGGAGCCAUACCAUGUUGAUCAAUCGGUUGAUCGGAAAUCAGCGUCGGAUGAUACAAUUCUAGGAUGUUCUGGUCUGCAGACCUUCUUGCAGAAUGUACAUGCUGAUUGGUUUAUAAACAAUUAUUAUAGAUAUUGUUUCAGAAUUUGCAUGCUAAUUAAUUUACACCCAUAUAGACUUAUAGAAUGUUGUCCAAUGAGAUAAAUUUCAAGAUUGCAAAACCAUUAUGAGACAAAUUCGAGUUUGGGUGCAAUAGACGUUCUGUUUUGUAUUUGGCAGUUAUAACAUACUCCCUCCGUCCUAGGAAACUUGUCUUCAGUUUAUCAAAAUUGUAUUUGGCAGUUAUAACAU
This is a long non-coding RNA of Lolium rigidum, 2625 nucleotides long. RefSeq lists it as uncharacterized. The record is from RefSeq and is a predicted model, not a curated record. Lineage: Eukaryota; Viridiplantae; Streptophyta; Magnoliopsida; Poales; Poaceae. The transcript has 6 exons.